ACUCGUCCUGGAUGACGCCGCGCGUCAGCGCGUCAAGUGCGCCGAAAGGCUCGUCGAGCAGCAGCAUUUUUGGUUCGACCGCAAAGGCGCGUGC
This 94-nucleotide transfer RNA is filed under the name Caballeronia udeis. RNAcentral describes it as "Paraburkholderia udeis tRNA-Leu". Lineage: Bacteria; Pseudomonadati; Pseudomonadota; Betaproteobacteria; Burkholderiales; Burkholderiaceae. The record is from RNAcentral.